GAUGAAGAACGUAGCGAAAUGCGAUAAGUAAUGCGAAUUGCAGAAUUCAGUGAGUCAUCGAAUCUUUGAACGCACAUUGCGCCCUGUGGUAUUCCGCAGGGCAUGCCUGUUCGAGCGUCAUUUCAACCCUCAAGCCUCGCUUGGUGUUGGGCCCUGCCCGCCGCGGCCGGCCCUAAAGAUAGUGGCGGCGCCGCCUGGCCCUCAGCGUAGUACAGCUCUCGCUCCAGGGUCCGGCGGCAGCCUGCCAGAAUCCCCCAACUCUGUGGUUGACCUCGGAUCAGGUAGGGAUACCCGCUGAACUUAAGCAUAUCAAUAAGCGGAGGA
Molecule: unclassified non-coding RNA, 324 nt
Filed under: soil metagenome
Description: partial contains 5.8S ribosomal RNA, internal transcribed spacer 2, and large subunit ribosomal RNA
Rfam family: 5.8S ribosomal RNA (bases 1-120)
Source: RNAcentral